This 1242-nucleotide ribosomal RNA is filed under the name metagenome. RNAcentral describes it as "bacterial LSU rRNA". It matches the Rfam family "Bacterial large subunit ribosomal RNA", at positions 1564 to 2816 of the family's 2925-position model. The record is from RNAcentral.
UGAAUACGAGAUGCUACGGCGUCGAAGCAGUCUAUGUCAUACUUCCAAGAAAAGCUCGCACUGUCAUAAACAAAUAAUGCCUGUACCAUAACCGACACAGGUGGGUAGGUAGAGUAUACUAAGGGGCGCGAGAUAACUCUCUCUAAGGAACUCGGCAAAAUGACUCCGUAACUUCGGGAGAAGGAGUGCCUUAUUUAUAAGGUUGCAAUAACAAGAUCCAAGCAACUGUUUAUCAAAAACACAGGUCUCCGCUAAGUCGUAAGACGAUGUAUGGGGGCUGACGCCUGCCCAGUGCCAGAAGGUUAAAGAAGUUGGUUAGCAUUCGCGAAGCUGAUAACUGAAGCCCUGGUGAACGGCGGCCGUAACUAUAACGGUCCUAAGGUAGCGAAAUUCCUUGUCGGGUAAGUUCCGACCCGCACGAAAGGCGUAAUGAUUUGGAUACUGUCUCGGAGAGGGGCUCGGUGAAAUAGACUUGUCUGUGAAGAUGCGGACUACCUGCACCAGGACAGAAAGACCCUAUGAAGCUUUACUGUAACUUGAGAUUGAAAUUGGACUUUACUUGCGCAGUAUAGGUGGGAGGCGUUGAUAAUAUUCUUGCGGGACUAUUUGAGCCAUCAGUGAGAUACCACUCUUGUAAUGUUAGAUUUCUAACUUUGUAUCAUUAUCUGGUCAAAGGACAGUUUCAGGCGGGCAGUUUGACUGGGGCGGUCGCCUCCUAAACGGUAACGGAGGCGCACAAAGGUUUCCUCUGAACGGGUAGAAAUCGUAUCUAGAGUGUAAAGGCAUAAGGAAGCUUGACUGUGAGACCUACAAGUCGAGCAGGGACGAAAGUCGGUCUUAGUGAUCUGACGGUGCUGAGUGGAAAGGCCGUCACUCAACGGAUAAAAGUUACUCUAGGAUAACAGGCUGAUCUCCCCCAAGAGUUCACAUCGACGGGGAGGUUUGGCACCUCGAUGUCGGCUCAUCGCAUCCUGGGGCGGUAGUACGUCCCAAGGGUUGGGCUGUUCGCCCAUGAAAGCGGUACGCGAACUGGGUUCAGAACGUCGUGAGACAGUUCGGUCCAUAUCCGGUGUAGGCGUUAGAAUAUUGAGAGGAGCCUUCUUUAGUACGAGAGGACCGAGAAGGACAUACCUCUGGUGUACCAGUUAUCGUGCCAACGGUAAACGCUGGGUAGCUAUGUAUGGAGUGGAUAACCGCUGAAAGCAUCUAAGUGGGAAGCCCACCUCAAGAUAAGUAUUCUCU